Molecule: long non-coding RNA, 248 nt
Organism: Lemur catta (Ring-tailed lemur)
Lineage: Eukaryota; Metazoa; Chordata; Mammalia; Primates; Lemuridae
Exons: 3
Source: RefSeq, a predicted model, not a curated record
AACUAUCAAGGGCAUCAAAACAAGGUAAUUUCUUGAAUUAAAUAUUAGCAUGAAUUGUUGCUGGAAAUGGAAGUGCAGGCCACACCACAAGCAAUGGAACUGAUCUAGCCACACAUUUACAAUCAGGGAAGAAAUGAAACUCAGACGUAGGAACAUAUAAAACAGAUAUUAAUAACACCCGAGUCUGACCUGAUCGGCCUUUACACCGCCACUAGCCGCUGCGCCCCCUGACGGUGGCACAGAGGCAC